RNAcentral lists this ribosomal RNA (489 nucleotides) under uncultured bacterium. RNAcentral describes it as "partial 16S ribosomal RNA". It matches the Rfam family "Bacterial small subunit ribosomal RNA", at positions 30 to 506 of the family's 1533-position model. The record is from RNAcentral.
AUUGAACGCUGGCGGCAGGCCUAACACAUGCAAGUCGAACGGUAACAGGGAUCAUCUUGCUGAUUCGCUGACGAGUGGCGGACGGGUGAGUAAUGUCUGGGAAACUGCCUGAUGGAGGGGGAUAACUACUGGAAACGGUAGCUAAUACCGCAUAACGUCGCAAGACCAAAGAGGGGGACCUUCGGGCCUCUUUCCAUCGGAUGUGCCCAGAUGGGAUUAGCUAGUAGGUGGGGUAACGGCUCACCUAGGCGACGAUCCCUAGCUGGUCUGAGAGGAUGACCAGCCACACUGGAACUGAGACACGGUCCAGACUCCGACGGGAGGCAGCGGUGGGAAAUAUAGCACAAUGGGCGGAAGCCUGAAGAAGCCAUGCCGCGUGUAUGAAGAAGGCCUGCGGGUUGUAAAGUACUUUCAGCGGGGAGGAAGGGAGUAAAGUUAACACCUGUGCUCAUGGACGUUACCCGCAGAAGAGGCACCGGCUAACUCCGU